Molecule: ribosomal RNA, 460 nt
Filed under: uncultured bacterium
Lineage: Bacteria
Description: partial 16S ribosomal RNA
Rfam family: Bacterial small subunit ribosomal RNA
Source: RNAcentral
CCUACGGGAGGCAGCAGUGAGGGAUAUUGGUCAAUGGACGAGAGUCUGAACCAGCCAAGUAGCGUGAAGGAUGACUGCCCUCUGGGUUGUAAACUUCUUUUAUAUGGGAAUAAAACAGGGUAUGCAUACCCUCUUGUGUGUACCAUAUGAAUAAGGAUCGGCUAACUCCGUGCCAGCAGCCGCGGUAAUACGGAGGAUCCGAGCGUUAUCCGGAUUUAUUGGGUUUAAAGGGAGCGUAGGUGGAUUGUUAAGUCAGUUGUGAAAGUUUGCGGCUCAACCGUAAAAUUGCAGUGGAAACUGGCAGUCUUGAGUACAGUAGAGGUGGGCGGAAUUCGUGGUGUAGCGGUGAAAUGCUUAGAUAUCACGAAGAACUCCGAUUGCGAAGGCAGCUCACUGGACUGCAACUGACACUGAGGCUCGAAAGUGUGGGUAGCAAACAGGAUUAGAUACCCGAGUAGUC